CUACGGGUUGCUGCAGUGGGGAAUAUUGGACAAUGGGCGAAAGCCUGAUCCAGCCAUGCCGCGUGGGUGAAGAAGGUCUUAGGAUUGUAAAGCCCUUUCAGCGGGGAAGAUGAUGACGGUACCCGCAGAAGAAGCCCCGGCUAACUCCGUGCCAGCAGCCGCGGUAAGACGGAGGGGGCUAGCGUUGUUCGGAAUUACUGGGCGUAAAGGGCGUGUAGGCGGAUCGGUCAGUCAGGGGUGAAAGCCCUGGGCUCAACCCAGGAAUUGCCUUUGAUACUGCCGAUCUAGAGUCCGGGAGAGGAUAGUGGAAUUCCCAGUGUAGAGGUGAAAUUCGUAGAUAUUGGGAAGAACACCAGUGGCGAAGGCGGCUAUCUGGACCGGUACUGACGCUGAGGCGCGAAAGCGUGGGGAGCAAACAGGAUUAGAUACCCUCGUAGUC
RNAcentral lists this ribosomal RNA (439 nucleotides) under uncultured bacterium. Its description in RNAcentral is "partial 16S ribosomal RNA". It matches the Rfam family "Bacterial small subunit ribosomal RNA", at positions 339 to 795 of the family's 1533-position model. The record is from RNAcentral.